GUCGAUUAUACAAUGUGGUUGUUUUGUUGAUGUGUUUCGUUUAUGUUAACUCUAUAGUCCAUCGGAGAUGAAUAACAGUAUUUUACAAUCCAAACAAUAUAGGCCCGUUUUAGAUGACAGAAGGUCCAUACUGGAAAGUUAUCAAUCAAUAUACGAGACUGGAUACAUGAACGUUCACAUACUUUAUUUUUCCAUCCAACAUAUAUACAUUCACAGUUCAUAAAGAAUAUUUACAAAACAGUAAUCAUGGCAACAUACAUUUACCCGCCGCUGUUCGUAGAU
Molecule: long non-coding RNA, 282 nt
Filed under: Mytilus galloprovincialis (Mediterranean mussel)
Lineage: Eukaryota; Metazoa; Mollusca; Bivalvia; Mytilida; Mytilidae
Source: RNAcentral